CAUCUUGGCCAUAAACCUCAGCUUAUCAAACCAAGUGAAGAAAGCUUACAGUCCCCAAACAUACCUAGACAGCAUGUUUGGGAUUGAAUCUUAAAAACGUAAAUCAUUCAAGCAUCAUCAGCAAUCAGCUCAGUUCACUUCUCCUCUUGCAGGGAGCAAAUAUGAUAUUUUGGCUUGGUUUAAUUUUGCGCCCUGCACAGAUUGUGCUACCUUCUAUGAAUUCAGGAAGAGAUAGCCAUUGUCCAGAAGCCCAACUUUUGAAAAUGGAAUGGUAGCUGCUUCCUUUAAGACAGGGUUGGUUGGUUCUGCAUCUGGAGUGAAUCCAGUUUCCCUGUUGGUAGUGGGGAAAAUGAGGUCACACCCCCUACCCCUCCCUUCUUCUCCAAGUCUCCCUGCUCUUGAACCUGGAUCUCCAGCCCCCCAAAAAGGUUCUCCCAUCCUGACUGCACUUUGAAGGUUGCAGAAGAGAUUGCAAGAUGAAAGCUUUGCUAUUUGCCUUGUUGUUGGUGGCAUUCAUGUGCAAGGACCCAGUUGCGGGUCUGUAGUGUCUUCGAUGUUAUGGUGCUUGCAAAGAGGAAAUAUGUUUGGAAGACCAACCUGUCUGUUAUACUCUGGACAACGGAGUGGGACAGGCUGUUCGCAGAAGAUGUGCCCCCACAUGAUCUCAAGGGGACAAUGGGCUGGAGGCUAAAUGUUGCACAACUAACUUUUGCAAUGAAUAAAAUUAUCCUUCUGAUUUUAAAAUGAGCUUUGUUGAGUUUUGCUGUCAUCCAUCAUGGACCAUCCUUUGCAGAUUUAGGUUUGUGGCCUUUACGGUCCAUAAUUCAACCCCUCAGCUUCUCUGGACACUUCGCCCUCUCUCCCUUUUCUCCUGGCCUACAUGCUUUGUUCUGCUCUUUCUCUAGUUUGGCAACGGAAUAAAUUUCUGCAUUUAAAUCCAAGCGUACUGGGUGUGUUUGCUAUGAUGUGUCCAUUUUCCUUUUGGGAAAGUUAAAUUGUGGAAUAGUAGAAGGCUGAAAGUUUAUAUAUAUAUAUAUAUAUAUAAUCCAAAGAGCGCCAAAGAAUUGAG
Long non-coding RNA from Crotalus tigris (Tiger rattlesnake), 1069 nucleotides. RefSeq lists it as uncharacterized. The transcript is spliced from 3 exons. The record is from RefSeq and is a predicted model, not a curated record. Lineage: Eukaryota; Metazoa; Chordata; Lepidosauria; Squamata; Viperidae.